RNAcentral lists this ribosomal RNA (318 nucleotides) under Triticum aestivum (bread wheat). RNAcentral describes it as "partial small subunit ribosomal RNA". Lineage: Eukaryota; Viridiplantae; Streptophyta; Magnoliopsida; Poales; Poaceae. The record is from RNAcentral.
AUGCCCAUUGAUGAAGAGGGUAAUCUAGAGCUGUCAAGGCAAGUUGUUUCUGUAAAAUCAAUGGGAAGGCUUACCAUUUUUAUAAAGGCCUUGUCAGCAUGUGGAGAAAUCAGUGGAAGUGUUACCUUCAUACCCAAAUCCAGCAACGUGAGUCAAGAAAGCUGUUCCAUUGGUGGAUGUGAAGUGGAGAUAACUGUUGCUUGGUCCCUUCUUGUUGAAAGCCAGCAUGUUAUAGAGCUGAAGGGAUCUGCAGACCCUUACGAACAUGAAUUAAAUCCAUGUACUCCUCGGAUGAAACUCGAGGAAGACGCUUUUUGA